CCUACGGGUGGCAGCAGUGAGGAAUAUUGGUCAAUGGACGCAAGUCUGAACCAGCCAUGCCGCGUGCAGGAAGACGGCUCUAUGAGUUGUAAACUGCUUUUGUACGAGGGUAAACGCAGAUACGCGUCUCUGUCUGACCGUCUCGUACGAAUAAGGAUCGGCUAACUCCGUGCCAGCAGCCGCGGUAAUACGGAGGAUUCAAGCGUUAUCCGGAUUUAUUGGGUUUAAAGGGUGCGUAGGCGGUCGGAUAAGUUAGAGGUGAAAUCCCGAGGCUCAACUUCGGAAUUGCCUCUGAUACUGUUCGGCGAGAGAGUAGUUGCGGUAGGCGGAAUGUAUGGUGUAGCGGUAAAAUGCUGAGAGAUCAUACAGAACACCGAUUGCGAAGGCAGCUUACCAAGCUACUUCUGACGUUGAGGCACGAAAGCGUGGGGAGCAAACAGGAGUAGAUACCCGUGUAGUC
This 460-nucleotide ribosomal RNA is filed under the name uncultured bacterium. RNAcentral describes it as "partial 16S ribosomal RNA". It matches the Rfam family "Bacterial small subunit ribosomal RNA", at positions 338 to 795 of the family's 1533-position model. The record is from RNAcentral.